AGUCGAACGGAAUCCUUAGGGAUUUAGUGGCGGACGGGUGAGUAACACGUAAGAACCUGCCUCUAGGACGGGGACAACAGUUGGAAACGACUGCUAAACCCGGAUGAGCCGAAAGGUAAAAGAUUAAUCGCCUAGAGAGGGGCUUGCGUCUGAUUAGCUAGUUGGUGAGGUAAGAGCCCACCAAGGCGACGAUCAGUAGCUGGUCUGAGAGGAUGAUCAGCCACACUGGGACUGAGACACGGCCCAGACUCCUACGGGAGGCAGCAGUGGGGAAUUUUCCGCAAUGGGCGAAAGCCUGACGGAGCAAGACCGCGUGGGGGAGGAAGGUUCUUGGAUUGUCAACCCCUUUUCUCAGGGAAGAACACAAUGACGGUACCUGAGGAAAAAGCAUCGGCUAACUCCGUGCCAGCAGCCGCGGUAAUACGGGGGAUGCAAGCGUUAUCCGGAAUGAUUGGGCGUAAAGAGUCCGUAGGUAGUCAUCCAAGUCUGCUGUUAAAGAGCGAGGCUUAACCUCGUAAAGGCAGUGGAAACUGGAAGACUAGAGUGUAGUAGGGGCAGAGGGAAUUCCUGGUGUAGCGGUGAAAUGCGUAGAGAUCAGGAAGAACACCGGUGGCGAAGGCGCUCUGCUGGGCUAUAACUGACACUGAGGGACGAAAGCUAGGGGAGCGAAUGGGAUUAGAUACCCCAGUAGUCCUAGCGGUAAACGAUGGAAACUAGGUGUGGCCUGUAUCGACCCGGGCCGUGCCGAAGCAAACGCGUUAAGUUUCCCGCCUGGGGAGUACGCACGCAAGUGUGAAACUCAAAGGAAUUGACGGGGGCCCGCACAAGCGGUGGAGUAUGUGGUUUAAUUCGAUGCAACGCGAAGAACCUUACCAGGACUUGACAUCUCUGGAAUCUCCUUGAAAGGGGAGAGUGCCGUAAGGAACCGGAAGACAGGUGCUGCAUGGCUGUCGUCAGCUCGUGUCGUGAGAUGUUGGGUUAAGUCCCGCAACGAGCGCAACCCUCGUCGUUAGUUGCCAUCAUUAAGUUGGGAACUCUAGCGAGACUGCCGGUGACAAACCGGAGGAAGGUGAGGAUGACGUCAAGUCAGCAUGGCCCUUACGUCCUGGGCGACACACGUACUACAAUGCGAGGGACACAGAGCAGCCAACCCGCGAGGGAGAGCGAAUCUCACAAACCCUGGCACAGUUCAGAUUGCAGGCUGCAACUCGCCUGCAUGAAGGAGGAAUCGCUAGUAAUCGCAGGUCAGCAUACUGCGGUGAAUCCGUUCCCGGGCCUUGUACACACCGCCCGUCACACCAUGGAAGUGAGCCACGCCCGAAGUCAUUACUCUAACCCUUUCGGGGGAGGAGGGUGCCGAAGGCGGGGUUGAUGACUGGGGU
This 1382-nucleotide ribosomal RNA is filed under the name Planktothrix agardhii HAB637. RNAcentral's name for it is "16S ribosomal RNA". It matches the Rfam family "Bacterial small subunit ribosomal RNA". RNAcentral also lists the same sequence under 15 other names. Lineage: Bacteria; Bacillati; Cyanobacteriota; Cyanophyceae; Oscillatoriales; Microcoleaceae. The record is from RNAcentral.